CUACCCGGACCUAAAUAAUCGCUGCACACGGAACAGGCAUGGCGUCCUUCACGUACACGCACAAGUGACAAACAUUAUUAAUUCUUCCUUCUUUAUCAAAAACUGUUUUGUUGUUUUUAUUUAUUUGUGGAUACUUCGUUAAAAAUGGCGGCCAGGACCGUGCGUCACCUUCUCCAACGACGCUUUGCAUCUGCAGCAGCUGCUGUGCGUCCUCCGGCUGCUGAGGUUCGCCGCCAUCGUGACGCCGUCUUCUCCAGAGAGCAGGCCCGACAGAGAGCUCUGUAUCCCCGCAUUGAGAAGAUCGAGGUGAACGUGGAGGGCCCCGGGUUGGAGGGGACUCUGCUCGUCAUGAAUAAAGGGAUGUCCACUCCGCUCAGCUGUGCCAGACACUUGACCGAGUACCAUGUCACCAACUCUGUGAUGGCCCUGGUCAACGGGGAGCUGUGGCCUCUUCAUCAGCCCCUCACUGAGUCCUGCUCCUUAACCCUGCUCACAUUUAAAGACAACAACCCGACGAUGGUCAACCAGGCGUUUUGGCGUUCCUGUUCCUCCUUGCUUGGUCAGGUUCUGGAGACUGCGUUCAAAGACGACUAUACUGUAGAGCUGCUCAGCACGCCGGAAGUGCCAGUCACUUCUGGAGCUUUCUGCUGUGACGUUGUGCUCGAUCCUCAGCUCGACUCAUGGACUCCAUCUGAGGAAUCAUUGCGCUCCUUAACUCGAGGAGCCCAGCAGCUGAUCCAUCAGGACUUGGCGUGGGAGCCUCUGGAGGUGACGAUCCCUGUGGCACUGGAAGUCUUUUCACACAGCAGGUUUAAACAGGAGGAGGUUGAACAGAAGGCAGAAGAGAGUCCCAGAGGCACAGUGAUGCUCUACAGAUGUGGGGACCAUGUGCUUCUCACAGGGGGCCCCCUAGUGGCAAGAACAGGCCUGUGCUCUCAAUAUGAGUUUACAGCUCUUCACAACCUGGGACAGGGGCCCUUGGGCCUGCACCGUAGGGCCCAAGGACUCUCGCUGCCUUUGCAGCUGCAGGCUCACCACACAGUCUGGAGGAAACUGAGGCAGCGGGCAGUGAAACUGCGCCCCCAGUAAUCCGGAGCGGCGCUGGAAAUGUCUUGGACAGAGAAAAAAACAACGUUGCAGAUGAACGCCACACAGUCAGGAAGUCACUCACUCCUGGCUUCAGUGGAACUAAAGAAAAUUUCACCUCCAUGACCAGAGGUUGAGGUGCCCAAGACUGAAGAAGCAACUCCACACUCUCCUCCUGUCUCUGACCAGCCUGCAACAUCCUCUGCAUAACCUUCCACACACUUUGUCAUGUACUAGACUGUAUUAUUUGUUCAAUAAAUGUGUAAAAAUCUC
Cheilinus undulatus (humphead wrasse) is the source of this 1359-nucleotide RNA transcript. It is a transcript of the gene named mitochondrial ribosomal protein L39, with no coding region annotated. NCBI's taxonomy places the organism in Eukaryota, Metazoa, Chordata, Actinopteri, Labriformes, Labridae. The transcript has 11 exons. The record is from RefSeq and is a predicted model, not a curated record.